CGGACGAACGCUGGCGGCGUGCUUAACGACAUGCAAGUCGAACGGAAAGGCCCAGCUUGCUGGGUACUCGAGUGGCGAACGGGUGAGUAACACGUGGGUGAUCUGCCUUGCACUCUGGGAUAAGCCUGGGAAACUGGGUCUAAUACCGGAUAUGACCUCUGACUGCAUGGUUGGGGGUGGAAAGCUUUUGCGGUGUGAGAUGGGCCCGCGGCCUAUCAGCUUGUUGGUGAGGUAAUGGCUCACCAAGGCGACGACGGGUAGCCGACCUGAGAGGGUGAUCGGCCACACUGGGACUGAGACACGGCCCAGACUCCUACGGGAGGCAGCAGUGGGGAAUAUUGCACAAUGGGCGCAAGCCUGAUGCAGCGACGCCGCGUGGGGGAUGACGGCCUUCGGGUUGUAAACUCCUUUCGCCAGGGACGAAGCGCAAGUGACGGUACCUGGAGAAGAAGCACCGGCCAACUACGUG
Molecule: ribosomal RNA, 469 nt
Filed under: uncultured bacterium
Lineage: Bacteria
Description: bacterial SSU rRNA
Rfam family: Bacterial small subunit ribosomal RNA
Source: RNAcentral